GGGGAUUUAGCUCAGUGGUAGAGCGCUUGCCUCAGAAGCGCAAGGCCCUGGGUUCGGUCCCCAGCUCCG
Molecule: non-coding RNA, 69 nt
Organism: Rattus norvegicus (Norway rat)
Lineage: Eukaryota; Metazoa; Chordata; Mammalia; Rodentia; Muridae
Source: Rfam